This 260-nucleotide ribosomal RNA is filed under the name uncultured bacterium. RNAcentral's name for it is "partial small subunit ribosomal RNA". It matches the Rfam family "Bacterial small subunit ribosomal RNA", at positions 26 to 285 of the family's 1533-position model. The record is from RNAcentral.
AGGACGAACGCUGGCGGCGUGCUUAACACAUGCAAGUCGAGCGAGGCCCCUUCCUUCGGGAGGGGAGCCCUAGCGGCGAACGGGUGAGUAACACGUGGGCAAUCUGCCCCUAGCACUGGGAUAACUCCGGGAAACCGGGCUAAUACCGGAUAUGACCUCCGAGGGCAUCCUCUGGAGGUGGAAAGGAUUCGGGCUAGGGAUGAGCCCGCGGCCUAUCAGCUAGUUGGUGGGGUAAUGGCCCACCAAGGCGACGACGGGUA